GAGAGAGAGAGACAGAGAGAGACAUGGAUCACCUGCUGCUGCUGAUGAUGCUACUGCUCUGUAGCUCAGGACUCCAGGCUGAAGGAGAACACAACUCAACAGAGCCUGGUGUUAGGCUGGUGGGAGGAGAGAGUCGCUGUGCAGGAGCUCUGGAGGUGGAACAUGAGGGAGAAUGGAGACUAGUG
Long non-coding RNA from Trematomus bernacchii (emerald rockcod), 185 nucleotides. RefSeq lists it as uncharacterized. The record is from RefSeq and is a predicted model, not a curated record. Lineage: Eukaryota; Metazoa; Chordata; Actinopteri; Perciformes; Nototheniidae. The transcript has 3 exons.